Molecule: long non-coding RNA, 6003 nt
Filed under: Trifolium pratense (red clover)
Lineage: Eukaryota; Viridiplantae; Streptophyta; Magnoliopsida; Fabales; Fabaceae
Description: long non-coding RNA (TPRA_LNC012081)
Source: RNAcentral
CAAUAUCCUGCUGAUGUUUUAGAAGAUAACUAGCAGCUAAUGAUGCAUGAAGUGCAGCUCCGUAAGGGAGUCCAUCUUCAUUGAUUUUGAGAUAAGGUGAGUGUAAUGAUGGCACAAACCGUUCAUGUUCGGCAUUCUUCAUUCCAAGGAAGAAAAAGUAACCAGGUAUGACCUCUUGAUAGAAUGAAAAGUCUUCAGCUCCCAUGAAUGGAGACAUGGCACUUUCGACUUUAUUGAUACCUAGCAUAUUCACUGCCACAUUCACAAAAUGUUCAUGCAAGUCGCCGUUGUUUAUAGUUGGAGGAUAGAAAGGUUUCACUUCAUCAAGGAAGUCCACAGUUGCAUUGCACCUUUGCACAGCAGCUUGCCCAAUGAUAACCUGCAUAAGUGCAUUAACCUUAGGGCACGUUUGGAUUGACUUAUUUUAGUUUAUUUACUUGCAUAAACACUUGUGAGACUGUUUGGGAGAGCUUAUAGAAACAGCUUAUGACAUGUCCGUAAGCUCUCUAUGAUAGCUUAUGAAAACAACUUAUAGCUUAUAUUGGAAACAAUCUUUUGUUACAAAAAGAGUUUAUACAUAAGCACUUGUAUGAUAAGUGCUUAUAUUAUAAGCGUUUAAGUUGUUUUGUCCCUAUGAAGAUUGAAUGAAAAAUACAGUAUAAGUGCAAACAUCUCUUUUGUUGCAAUAGAAGCUCAUGAGCUUAUGCAGAAAGGGAAAGAUGCAGAAGGCUCCAACUUGCAAAAAUUAAGACAUCAAUAAUGUCACUUUAUGGAGAGAUCAUUACUUUCAGCUUUUUCAUUUCCAUUACAUACCUGCUCAAUCCGCUGUUUCAGUUGGUUGAAGCUUUGUUUAGAAAAGGCUCGGAAGGUGCCACCAAUUGUGACAGAAUCUGGAAUAACAUUGUAUGCACUACCUCCUUGGCACUUUCCAAUCGUCACAACCUGUGUGAACAUGUGUUAUGUAACGAAGACAUGAGGGAUUGUAUCGCCUUCAACAAGCACGACUUUCAUAUUUUUAAGUAAUCAGAAAAUUUUCACAAAUAAAAAUGCUCUGACACACAUCCUAUAUAUCCCUCGAUUAUCAUUAAAAGCUUGUUUUAUAAUUGUAUUCUUCUAUGUCAUCUUUUUUGUUGUCAAUGAUACUAAAUUGCAGUUGUGGUUAUGCUGCAAUCUUUUAUAUAGUGGUAAAAUACAGGAAAAUGUGGCUGAUGCGGCCACAAUCGUUUAUGCUAUAAUGUUUAAUUAAGUUAUUUAUCCAAACAAGGCCUAAGUAUGAAAUAAGUGUAAAUAAGUAGAUAAUAGGAAGGGAAAAUGAAGAAUCGGCAAAAUGUACCUGUGAGUCUAAAGGAUCAGCCUCGCGAGAAACAAGGUGUUGUAAACUAAGAAUGACAUUGGAAGCUGCCAAUAUAGGGUCGAUAGACUGUUGAGGAAUAGCUGCAUGACCACCCUUUCCACUUAUUUUUGCUUCAAAGAAGCCACUUCCAGCCAAUAUUGGACCAGACUUAGAGGCCACUUCACCUAUUGGUAAGUCAGGAGCAAUAUGUAAUCCAAAUAUAGCGGUAACAUUUUCUAAUGCUCCAGUGUCUAAAAUUUUCUUAGCCCCUCCACCUCCUUCCUCUGCUGGUUGGAAAACAAGAACAACAGUUCCCUUGUUUAGUCAACAAAAUGAAGAAUUUAUCAGUAAUCCAUGAGAGUAUGAAGACUAAAAUAACAGGACAAUACACAGAAAAGUAGCAGAUAUGUGCUCUACGCAUUGACACGGACACAGAUACCAUCAUGACAUUGCUACUGACACGUAGACACUGAUAAUAAUUUAAGGAAAAAAAAAUGACUUAAUGUAACCAUAUGUAUUGGUGUCGAGUAUCGAACACACUUUCAAUUUGAAGUGUCAGUGCUAUCUAGAUAUAUGCUAAAUGAUAGAAUGAUUCUAAUUUACAAAAGUUGCAUCACAAAAGAUAUAGCAGUUUUCCCAUAAUUUGCUACUAAUAUGGUCCAAACCAAAGAAAUAAGUCUCACUUUGACAUUUUUGGACUUAAUUCAAAUAAAAAGUAUGAAAUCAUCAGAAAGACUAAAUUUCUUGAGUUAAUGACAAUUUGGACAAUAGAGUAGUAGCUACAAUUUUAAUUUGCAUCGGAAUCGGUUUAAAAAACAAAGCAAAAUAUUUUUUUAUCGUUCUUAACCCUUUAAUUCUUAUAGGGGGAAGAAGCUCUAGUAAUCCGGUCCAGAGAGUAAAUAAAGUUUGGCUAAUGAUUUUUCUAGCCAGGGAUCGAACAUGGCUGCUCCCAAUCCGUUCAACCUUAACCGAAACUCAUUAACCACUUGGUUAAGCAGAAAAUUAUCACACACCUGUAUCUCUUUUUCAUGCUGUUUAAGAAUCUUUGCAGCACCAAGUACCAUGGUAACAUGAGCAUCAUGACCACACGCGUGCAUCUUUCCGGCUACUUUACUCUUAUGCUCCCACUCCACCAUUUCCUAUGAUUUUAACACAAUAAUAAAUCAAUAAUGACCAUUUUACAACUAUCUUUGACACAAUUCAAACUCAUCACUUCGACGUUCCAAGGCUAAGCUCUUACCACUGGGCGCGCUAUCACCUCAUGUGUCAUACACAAAAUUACAUAACCCUUUGUUAUUUUAACCCCAUACAUAUAAAGGGAAAAGCUAACAUGUGCCCUUAAGCACUUGUUAGUAUACUAUAGAUAGUAAUUUUGCAUUAAAAGUUGUGCAUUUCAUAUCUUUAACAUGUGCCCUAGGACACAUGUAAGCAUGACCCAUAUAUAAAUUAGAACAUAGAACCAUCUCAUAAAACUAUUGAAUUAACCAUUUUGAUGGUUUAAGGAAAAUAACAUAGAUGAAUCUAAUAUAAUAUAAUAUAAUUAACCUGCAUAGGAAGAGCAUCCAUGUCAGCUCUUAUAGCAACAAAAGGAGAGGAUCCAGUUCCUAUGAAACCAAUGACACCAGUGAUUGCAACUGGAUGUUUAUAAGGUAUGCCCAUUUUAUCUAAUUCUGAUCUUAUCAGUUCACUUGUUUCAAAUUCUUGAUAACCCAAUUCAGGAUUCUCAUGAAUUUUCCUUCUGAUAUUGAUCAUCCAAUCAAAAACCUCAGAACUCUUGGCACUGUCAAGAAAAUUGUUGAAUGAAGAAUCAUCUGUUGAUGAUGAAAUUUGUGUUGUAGUAAAGACGUGUAACAUGAAUAUGAUGAUGGAAAAAUGGAAACAUUUGAAGGAACAAGACAUGGUUUGUUUUGGUGAUGAUGAAUUGCAGUAAAUUUUUUUGUGUUUGUAAGAUGAAGUGGUUGGCUUUUCAAUGAUUCUAACUUCCAGUGAUUUGGAGCGUUGUCCCACUCAUGAUUAUCCUCGGGUGAAUAAAUAUCUGAAUUUGCAUCAUUCCCGUUUUUUUCAUGCUCUCUCCACUCAAACUAAAUUAAAAAGCUAAUAAAUUAAAAAGUGAAUAAGUGAAGUGUCUGGGUUUUUAACCCGGAGUCGUACAGAUAUAAUGCGAUAUAUUUAUUAAUUGAGCUAAAUUUACGGGGUAAAUUUGUGAUUUUUAAGAAAAUCAUUGGUUUGGUUAAUUUUAAGGGUAAAAUUACAGUGUUUAAGUUUCUUUCAUAUAUAGAUUAAGACAAACAAUACAUUAUACAUGAAUGAUGAAUGAUUAAUCAUAACAAUUUUAUGUCUACUAAGCUCAGUUUAGUUGAUAGAGCUAUUAUAUUGGAGUAUAUUUGUAAGGGCUGAGUUCAAAUCUCUCACACUCCACUUAUAGAAUAUAUAUAUAUAUAUAUAUGGGAGAGAUCAUAUUACACCGGUGUAAUAUUUGAGUAAUGUUACACCGUUCAAUAACGCUUCAACGAAUACAAAUUUUACAAAAUCCGUUGGAUUGAAAGUUUAUAUCAUAUAGAUCCUUGUUCAAUUCUAUAAAAAUCUAAAAUCAUUUGAUAUGUUAUUGAGAUUGGUCAAUCUUAACGGUAUUCAAUAAAAACACAUAAAACGUUAAUCUUGAUCGGUCUCGAUAACAUAUCAAACGAAUUUAGAUUUUUGUGAAAUUGAACAUUGAUGAUCUAAAUGAUAUAAACUUUCAAUCAAACGGUGGAUUUUGUAAAAUUUGUAUUCGUUGAAGCGUUAUUAACAUUACUCAAAUGUUACACCGGUGUAAUUUGAUCCCUCCUAUAUAUAUAUAUAUAUAUAUAACAAUUUUACCAUUAUAUUGGAGUAUAUUUGUAAGAGCCGGAGUUCACUUAUCAAAAGAAAAAGUAUAACAAUUUUACAGUUUUAUUUUCUAAAGCGACAAUUAUUUUGCAACGAAGCGAUGAUUACUAGUAUAAAAUACUCUCUUUUUCUUCUUUUUUUAAUGUACCAAAAAAAAUGUUUUUUUUUUGUCCAGUCCAUUUGACCUUUAAUUUGUUCAUUCUCAUAAAUAAAUUUAAAAUUAAAAAAAAAAAAAACACUAUAACUGAAGUUGUCUUGUCUUACUAUUUUUUUAGCAAAUUAAACACACCCUUAUUGAGUCGGAGAAAAACACAAAUGUGACAUUAUUAUGAGACGAACGGAGAACAUUAGAGUUUAAACACAAUACAAUUAUCGCUUUUAAAAGAAAUAUAUUUCCACCUUCCCUAACUAUAAGCACAAAUUUGACAAAAAAUAAUAAAACUUGUGCCUAAAUGCAACUCUAUUUUUCAAUUUCUAGAUACAUUUCUUUUCCAAUAAACCCAUAGUUAAUACCUUCUUUGUCUAUUGGAGUAAGCGCAGGAAAAGUUGUCGAUGCAUUGUAGUAUUCACAACGAUUUAGUAACUUCAGUACUGACUAAUCUCUAUAAAAAAAUGGAUGAACAAAUUAAUAAUGUAGUUUUCUCCCUAUGUAUAAGUGUGAGGACCAAAUCUACAUUAUUGAGAAUAUACAUUAAUGAAUCUUGUGGUCCUCCUUUCCAUUAAGUGUAACCAAAUCUUCAAAACCUUUUGAUUUGAUUCAUAUAAAUAUAUUAUGAGGACCUUUAUCAAUUCUUUUUUGUGCAUGGACAUCAUGUUAAAUGCAACCAAAUCUUUAUAGCUUAUGCUAUGCCUCAACUAUUACUCAUAACCAUGCCAAAUUUGAUCCAAUAGUGAAUGAGUUUGCUUGGUUGCCAAAGGCUAUAUAGUUCUAAUCCGCCUAGCCAAGUUAUAGCCUUUUUUAGUGUCCUAGGCCGGCCCAAUAGACUGAAAGCAAGGAACUUCACUCUAGGGAAGUAAUGAAGGGUAAAUAGCGUAGAUAAGAAAGGGCGUCGUUAGCAGGCUAGACAUAUAUUGAAUGAAGAAAGAGAUGCCUCGGCUUUCAUAGGAGUUGGAGUACCAUCGAAACACAUCGUUCUAGUUUUUACAAACGCACCUUGAUCAUCUCGGAUUCACAUUCCAAUUCCAAAUUUUUGUUGGUCGUUGAAGCUGCGUCAAUAUUGCAUUUAACCUCGCCUUCCAUAGAGGGCUACCAACGUACUGCUUUUUCAUUAGGAAUGCUAGCUGCUGCACCUUCUUUCUAUGUUUAUGACUUACUCCUUGCUGGAAAUACAAAUCCCUCAAUAUGCAUUUUAAUAUUGAUUAAAAGAAUGCUCGAAAUAUAGAUAUGAAUGGGAUACUAACUAUUCAAGAAAACUCUAAGAAUUGAAAUAAAAUUUGUCUGAACUCAUAAACUCACUAAUCUAUAAUUCAUCAUGAUAUUUGCCCUCAACACCAGGUACAUCAUGCUCAUGUUUUAGUAGAUAACUAGCUGCUAAAGAUGCAUGAAGUGCAGCGCCAUAAGGCAGCCCAUCUUCAUUGAUUUUGAGAUAAGGUGAGUGAAACGACUCGGCCUGUUUAUCCGAGGCAUUCUUCACUCCAAGGAAGAAGAAGUAACCAGGUAUGACCUCUUGAUAGAAUGAAAAAUCUUCAGCUCCCAUGGAUGGUGUCAUGACACUAUUAACUUUAUCGAUACCAAACAUAUUCACCGCAACAUUCACAAAAUGCUCAUGCAGUUCACCGUUGUUUACAGUUGGAGGAUUGAA